CUGACGGUGCUGGACGGGAGUUAAUCAUUACGCUGUUUGUGCCACUGCAAUGGGCCGAGCCAGCCAGGGUCCUCGGGCUGACCCCACUCCUCACCCGCCCCCGCUGCUAUGCGGCCCACACGGGAAGACCACAGGAAGCUCAGACCGCGGCCCCCGAAACAACAAGGCAUUUUGCUUUGGAAACUGCCAGGACGGGAAAUUAGUUGGGCUGAUCAGGAAGAUCAGUCUGGCGUGAUUUGAACUGGGGAAUGGUUCUCCACGUGCCCGUGUCCAGGAAGCGGAGAUCUGUGGCCUGGCAGGUCCUGGAACCUUCACGCCCGUGCGCCCGGUGGCCGGACUCCAGCAGCUCCACGUAGAGCCAUGGCUUUCUCGCACCUGCCUGUCCAGUGAACGCGUGACCCUCCAGCUUAGGGACAAUUCCUUCAGACUCUCGGGAACAAGUGCAGCAGCAGAACUCCCUGGAAGCCAAGUGUUGACAAGGCUGGGUUCCACAUCUGGAACGUGUGUGGCCAGCCCCUCCCACCGUGGACUCAUGGUAUAAGCGAGGUGUGGCCUCAGUUUGGGACGCCUCGAGAUUCCUGGGUUCCCUUCUUAUCUGGGCCCGACCCCCAGUGCUGCAGAUCACCCGGGCUUUAGAAAGAGCCCCGUGGCCUUGAGAAGGUGCCUUGUGUGCGGCUGGAGAACUUGAGUACGACAGACAGUCGCUCCAGGGCUGUCCUUGCCGCCUGGAACGUUCUGGAUGACUUCUUUGGGAACCAGUUGCAUAGAGAGCUUACCAGUCACCUGGAAGAGCCAUUUCCAUGACUUUAUCACCACCACCUGCCCCAGAUGAGCAACAUCCCAGGGAUUCUCCUGAACAACAGUUACUAAGGAAACCUGCUUCCCUCAUCAUAUCAUUAAUCUCACAAGCUGAGAGUUUCUCCUGGGAUCGGAAAGAGCCACAAGAGCAAUGUCUCAGCUGGAAACAUCCUCAGUGAAACGUCGUUUGGUCUUUUCCUGUCUUCUGAGUCCUGAGGUGGGACCUCCUGGUCAUGCACUGCAGGAAGGAAGGAAGAUGUCUGGAGCCUUCUAAGCAGAACAAGGGCACUUUCUCUUCAGAGUAGCACUAUAGACAUGCUCUGUUAGAGAUCAAAGCGAAAACAAACCAACCGGUGAAUGAAAAACAGCAGGGACAGCCCAAGCCUUCUUGUGGGCCUGAGGCAGACCCACUCAGUCACGGCUGGCUUUGGCCGGCUUGGAGCUCGUCCCUAACUUCCCAGGUCCCUGGACUUGGCUGGCGUGGGUGGUGCUUCCCGAACAAGCUUGCAGCCUACUCUUUACGGGGCGCGGAUGUGGCAGAGUCCUGUGGUGUGUGCCAGACCCGGGCCUGCCUCCUCGGGUGGUGGCCGUGUGGGACCAGCUGGCCUCGUCUGCUGGGGCUGAAGGGCAUAAAAGCAGGAACUGGGGCUCUUUGAGCGGGACCUGGUUCUCCUACUUUGAAUGGGACCUUCGUUCCUCUCUUCACUAGAAGAAGCAGGUCUUCAAACGUAGCCUAUUUAUGCAAGUGACCCAGCUUUCCAGAUUCUGUUUCCUUCCCCAUGACUUUGCAACCCAGAGACGCAGGAGAGUCAUCGUGAGGGCAUGUGAGAGCCUUGAAUGAACACAGCCAGUACCCGGGACGCGGGAGUAAUCUGCUGAUUGAUUUUGUGCGUGCCUCUGUUGAGUUGGGGAGAGGUUGGGUGAGUCCAGACAUCAGGGUGCAGUUUCCGGUGGGAAAUGCUGGGUGUAGCUACCCUCGAGCUCAGCACGGUCACUGUCAUGGCGCACAUGGGUACGGCAGCUGUGGGGGACACACAGUCCAUCUGCACGUUCUCCCUCCUCCACGUUUACUUGCAGGAUCCUGGACAGAGGCGAAGUCCAGCCCCGUCCAAGGUCACGCAGGUGGCAAGAGGACAAGGGAAGAGCCUGGCCUGCCCCCCUUGUGCAGCUCUGAGUGUCUGCAGCCCGGGGCCCAGGCUCCUUCCCCGCUCUUGGCGUUCACGAUGGUCUUGCAGAAACCCUGCCUCCAGCCCUGCAUCUGCUCCUCAGACACUGGAGCCCUGCCACGGCCAGAGCAGAAGCCCACAGGGCCUCAGUUUAUCUGAGUGCGUCAGCAUGUGGUCCUCACGGACUGGCUGCGUAGGGGUCUCAAGCUAUGGCAAAAACGUGGCUUUAUUGACCUUCUUCUUCACCACAUGAGUGAGACCCUGUUUGCAUCAUCUGCCUGAAAGAAACUGGUUAAAAUGGAAAAAUGGAGCCUCAUUGUUAUUCAAGCAGGCCCGAUUAUCUGACGUUCUGGCAUAUUUUCAAAAUGUGGAAAGGUCCAGUAUCCUUCUCCUACUGUAGUGAUCCUGAGUGGAACAUUCAGGUUUAUGCGGAGUUGACCAAGGCACCGGGCCUGAGGGGUCUGCUGGUCUUUUGCGCAGGUGGCCGCAGACACGUGGUCUGAGGGCCUCCAACGGGCCCUCGUCGGGGACGGCCAGUAGCUUCUUUCUCCGCAGACUUCUCUCUCUCUCUCUCUCUCUCUCUCUCUCUCUCGUGUGCACACCAAAGUUAUCAUAUCAGUAGGGAUUCCGUGUUCGGUUUUGUCCCCAGGAGAGGCCAUCAAGGGAUUUGUCCCUUGAUCUUCCCUUCCCAGGACAAAGGGCCGGUAAACAGAACCUCCAGCAUGCGUGUCACCGUGCAGGGCCCAGUUUAGGGUUCUUGCUGGGGUGGGGGCACACGGGGGGGUGGGGCGUGGCAGAGUUAGUGG
Molecule: long non-coding RNA, 2770 nt
Organism: Neogale vison (American mink)
Lineage: Eukaryota; Metazoa; Chordata; Mammalia; Carnivora; Mustelidae
Exons: 5
Source: RefSeq, a predicted model, not a curated record